CUCGCCCUGGCCUGUCUGAGCCUGUCCUAACCCAGUCCAAAUCCAGUUGGGAACAUGCCUAGCGCAGGGUAAUCUGUUAAUGAGUCCAGCCCAAAUCCCGUCCAAAAUAUGGUAGGUAGGACUGUUUACAUGAGGAAUCAAGACACACCUCAUUACUGCUUGCACCGCGGUCAUCUUUCAUGUGUCUGCUCUUGACUACCAUGUGCUGGCAGGUCCCAUUACCGUGUAUAAUCAUACAACUCAGUUCCCAUCGACCCCACAUAAUGCUAGGUUGGUGGAGGGGUUUCAGGAGGGUUGCUGGAGGGUGGCUGUGUAGCAGCCACAAAACACAUCCCAGGAUGACAGGAUUGCUUACCAGCUGGCUGCAGUUUAGUGCAGGAUAUGUCAGCCUAGGAAAGAGAAGGCCUUAGCAGCACUGUGCAGGAUGUAUUGUUACUCCAAAAUGUCUGCUUGCUUGCUGGCACAGGGCUAUGUAAUCACACAGAGUUGGAAGCAUGGAUCAACCUUGCGACCUGCCAGUCUAUUGUGCUGACCAGUGAUCAAGUGAUUCAGGUGCACUAUUCAGUCUUGAUGCCAUAUGUAAGCAUAUAAAAUGCUCCACAGAUGUCAAGGGAUGCUUACAUGUACAUGUGCCAAUAUGUAUGACAGUAAAUAUGGCGUGUUUGACAUUUGCAAACUAUCUCGGUCCCGGUGAUGCUGUUUUUGCCUUUGUAAUCAGCCAUGGUGACAGGUGGCGGGUCCAGCACGUUUGCAAGCGGGCGUGCAGCUUGGCAACGGAAUGCGCCACCGUGCAG
This 794-nucleotide long non-coding RNA is filed under the name Chlamydomonas reinhardtii. Its description in RNAcentral is "long non-coding RNA (CREI_LNC001254)". The record is from RNAcentral. Lineage: Eukaryota; Viridiplantae; Chlorophyta; Chlorophyceae; Chlamydomonadales; Chlamydomonadaceae.